UCUGGUGGCUUAGAUGGUAAAGAAUCUGCCUGCAAAGCAGGAGACCUGGGUUUGAUCCCUGGAUCAGGA
RNAcentral lists this transfer RNA (69 nucleotides) under Bos taurus (domestic cattle). It matches the Rfam family "tRNA". From Rfam's summary of the family: Transfer RNA (tRNA) molecules are approximately 80 nucleotides in length. Lineage: Eukaryota; Metazoa; Chordata; Mammalia; Artiodactyla; Bovidae. RNAcentral also lists the same sequence under 5 other names. The record is from Rfam by way of RNAcentral.